RNAcentral lists this long non-coding RNA (422 nucleotides) under Polistes fuscatus (common paper wasp). RNAcentral's name for it is "uncharacterized LOC122514966". The record is from RNAcentral. Lineage: Eukaryota; Metazoa; Arthropoda; Insecta; Hymenoptera; Vespidae.
ACACGAAGCCUCCACGAGGGACGUCAGUCUCUCGUUGUCUCAAAGACGUUGAGAACAUUAAAUUUUUUUUUUGCUGUCUACGUUUUGUACUUUCGAGUUGAAUCUGAAAAAUAAUAAUAAUAAUAAUAAUAACGAUGACGACAACGAUGAUGAUGAUGUUGAUGUUGAUGAUGAUGAUGUUGAUGAUGAUGGUAACAAUAAUAAAAAACCGUUUAAUGUGAAAGUUCAAUCGAUCGAAGCUCCUAAAUGGCAUCCAAAUAAAAUUCUAAGAAAUACAAAAAUACAAAGAAAGAAUAGGAUAACUCUCUACGUCAGUGGUGUAGUCGUGGUAAUAUCUCAGGGAAGACUGUUUUGGCGUGAAUCCAGACAAUUGGAAAAGUAUCCUAACCUAAAAAAAAAAGAAAAGAAAAGAAAAAGUAAAA